UAUAAGUGUAUGUAAGAUUUGAUCGUUCGUCUUAUUUAAAAGAUAUAAUUAUUAUUUUAAUUGUUAUUAGAUGAUAAAAUAUGAAAAUAUACUUUAUGUGCGACUGAUUUUUUUUAAAAAAAAGUUCAUAAUUUUUUUCAAAUAAAACGGACGGUCAAACUUUGGAUAUGGAAACCUACAAACACACUUAUA
RNAcentral lists this microRNA precursor (192 nucleotides) under Oryza meridionalis. RNAcentral's name for it is "MIR812 microRNA precursor family". It matches the Rfam family "MIR812 microRNA precursor family". The record is from Rfam by way of RNAcentral. Lineage: Eukaryota; Viridiplantae; Streptophyta; Magnoliopsida; Poales; Poaceae.